This 133-nucleotide non-coding RNA is filed under the name Candidatus Falkowella caecavicola. RNAcentral's name for it is "glmS glucosamine-6-phosphate activated ribozyme". It matches the Rfam family "glmS glucosamine-6-phosphate activated ribozyme aptamer", at positions 12 to 153 of the family's 167-position model. From Rfam's summary of the family: This entry contains a glucosamine-6-phosphate activated ribozyme that is found in the mRNA for GlmS. Lineage: Bacteria; Bacillati; Bacillota; Clostridia. The record is from RNAcentral.
GAGCGCCGGGCCUGCAUUGGCAGGUGACGAGGCGGAAGGUCAUCGAAAUUUUCGGCGGGUGCCUUCCCGGUUGUUGGUUCCACAAUCGUAGUCUGCUGACAAAACGGCCCUGUAAAGGGAAGGACAAAACAGC